RNAcentral lists this long non-coding RNA (1575 nucleotides) under Homo sapiens (human). Its description in RNAcentral is "HSALNT0232370". Lineage: Eukaryota; Metazoa; Chordata; Mammalia; Primates; Hominidae. The record is from RNAcentral.
UAUGGGAUAAGGCAAUUGCCAACAAAGCUUAAUUUAUUUGUUCAUUCUUUAUUUCAUGCAUUUAUUUUCUCAAGAAGCAUUUGUCAAGUGUCUCCUACAUGCCAGAUACUUUGUCAGUUGCUGGAGAUAUAAAGCCAAAAGACACAAGGUCGCAGGGUCCAUGAUAGGCAGAUGGGGAGCACCAGAACAGACUCGGUGUCAAUCAGGGAAAGCUGUCACCAGCAGGUGACAUGAGAUAAGUUUUCAAGAAAGAUAAGCAUUGCAGAGAGGAGUUGGGUAGGAGGAAGUUGCUGCCAAGACCUGCAUCGUUUGCCCCUGAGUCACCAAGGAUCACAAUGCUCAUGGCUGAUAAUUAUGAAAUUAAAAGCAGCAGGGGAUUGGGGAUUUUAGGAAAAGGAGGUAUCCUCAGUGGUGGUACAGGAGCAGAUGCUGCUUAGAGAAGAGAAAGCAAACAGAGGCAAAGCCCUCCUGGGCCCAGUGCCUGCAGUGUGGUGGAAGACUGAGAUCUGUUAAAGAGGGGGAAAAGAAAACUUUAAAAGCUGGAGGCAAGACUCAGAGUGAAGGCUUAAUUGAGGAAGCAGGCAUUUUGGGUUCACACAAAUAAGCAAAUAGAAUCCCCUUGGCCCCUCCUGGUCAUCUGUGAGUUUUGACAGGGUUCAUGCAAAGACAAUGAUGAGUACAUCAUAACACCGCAUGGCCAACAGUAAUUAUAAGACAACAUCAAUUAUACAGCUCAGCCUAAUUUUGAGAUAUUAAUGAAUGAAAAACUGUGCAUCUUGAAAUUGAUGAAUGGUAGUACUUUAUGGAAUUGUUCUUAGAAUGAAAGCAUGACUUUCUUGAAAAGCCUCUAGGGUAGUACCUUGCAUAUGGUGGAAACUAGAAUUACGGUUUUUCUUUUCUUUUUCUUUUCUCCCAGCCUGUAAAUGUUAUCUCUGAUAGUAAGUCUCCUGACUACAAUGAGUAGCUGAUGGAUGGGAAGGGGGGUUCCAAUACACAGAAUGAGCAUCUAAUGGGGAAUGGGAAAAAACUAGAGGUCAUAUGAAGCCCUGUGUUUCUCAGUAUACAUCUACAGUGACCACAUAACUUAUUAUCCAAACCAGGACAAUUUUGAAAGUAAAAGAAGUUGCUUUUAAUAAUUUAACUGGAACCAGGGACAUAAACUGGGGCCAACCCAGAUGAGCCAUAUAUAAAAACCUACAAAAGUCCAUCUUCCAUCUGGCAAGUACAACUGAAAUCAGAUGCAAAUUUCUCUAUGCUUAGACUUGGAGUGUCUUCGUCCAAAACCUGGAAGGCCAUGAGACAAAUGAUGGGCACGCAGGUACUCUUGGCUCCCAUCCCAAGAAGGCUUAACAAACACUAUAUUCCAAAAUUGGUUAAAGUUCGAUGCCACCGUGUUGUGGGAGAUGUUCCCCUUCCUCAGCUGUUAUUUAUGGUGCAGAGAAAAGGAACCACAUUGAUGAUGGACCUUGUUUGAUGCAUUCUAUCCCCAAGCUGAUGUUGUCUGGAGAAAUACCCAUUCCCACUCAUUGAGUCACCAUGAAUGGGGGGCUCACCAUGGCCAAGGGUGCUUUCUGG